UAUAAAGCCUCUCUCUUCUACCAACAAAACCCAUUUUCUCUUCCUCUCCAAAACCCACGGCCAUAAAACCCACAAAACCUACCCACAACCCCCAUUGCUUGGAAGAAGCCAUGCCGAAGAAGCCCCAUGGAAGCUAUGGUCCGUAAAGCCAAAGCCACCUCCAAGAAACUCCCGUAAAAAUCGUUUCUCUCUAGGUUUUGGGUUUUGGUGCUUUUGGAAAAACCACACUUAAUUACUUCCUAAGGAAAUGUCACAUCGAAGAGGAAAAGUACAAAUAGUGUCUCCAGAAGAUGAGUUGGAUAAUCUACAACAACUCUUAGACAUACAACCUGCUGCAACUACUACUCCUAGUAGUUCUGAUCCUGUUGAUUCUUCAGAUCCUUCUGUUGUUGGUUCAUCCUCUAGCAAAAAGAGGACACGUGGCCUAACACAUAACUUAGAUUUACUUAGUAUGAAACCCGGGGAAAAAAAACUACACGAUUCAAUACCAGAGGGCAAGUUGUUUAUGAUGGAAAAAGGGAAAGAUUGUCAAGCUAUAUGGGAACAUUGGUGCGAUCUCAACACAAUGUAGCCAUCCAAGUUCAAGAUUGGAAUCAUGUUAGUGAAGAUGUGAAAGAAAAGAUUUGUGCCUUAGUAUUGGUAUAUGCUAGUUACUAUUCAAUCUAAAUUGUAAUGUUAUUGUUUAAAAAUGAUACCUCUUAUUUAAACAUGACAUUUUAAUGCAAUACAGGAAAAAUAUGAACUAGAAGAAACAUGUAAGAGCUACAUUCUUCAAUGUUGUGGAAAUUUGUUUAGAAGCUAUAGAAAUAAAAUGAAGGCUAAGUAUUAUAACCCUUAUAAUACAGAUGAGGAGAGAUUGUGCCAUCGACCUCCACACUUAUCGGAUGAUGAUUGGAGGUGGCUCAUCCACUUUUAGGGUACACC
Long non-coding RNA from Vitis vinifera (wine grape), 924 nucleotides. RefSeq lists it as uncharacterized. NCBI's taxonomy places the organism in Eukaryota, Viridiplantae, Streptophyta, Magnoliopsida, Vitales, Vitaceae. The transcript is spliced from 4 exons. The record is from RefSeq and is a predicted model, not a curated record.